GCCGGGGUAGCUCAGCUGGUUAGAGCGCCAGACUCAUAAUCUGGAGGUCGAGGGUUCAAAGCCCUCCCCCGGCA
Molecule: transfer RNA, 74 nt
Filed under: Nitrososphaerota archaeon
Lineage: Archaea; Thermoproteati; Nitrososphaerota
Also listed under: 2 other names
Description: Thaumarchaeota archaeon (hot springs metagenome) tRNA-Met
Rfam family: tRNA
About the family: Transfer RNA (tRNA) molecules are approximately 80 nucleotides in length. Their secondary structure includes four short double-helical elements and three loops (D, anti-codon, and T loops). Further hydrogen bonds mediate the characteristic L-shaped molecular structure. tRNAs have two regions of fundamental functional importance: the anti-codon, which is responsible for specific mRNA codon recognition, and the 3' end, to which the tRNAs corresponding amino acid is attached (by aminoacyl-tRNA synthetases). tRNAs cope with the degeneracy of the genetic code in two manners: having more than one tRNA (with a specific anti-codon) for a particular amino acid; and 'wobble' base-pairing, i.e. permitting non-standard base-pairing at the 3rd anti-codon position.
Source: RNAcentral